This is a long non-coding RNA of Megalops cyprinoides (Indo-Pacific tarpon), 219 nucleotides long. RefSeq lists it as uncharacterized. The record is from RefSeq and is a predicted model, not a curated record. The transcript has 3 exons. NCBI's taxonomy places the organism in Eukaryota, Metazoa, Chordata, Actinopteri, Elopiformes, Megalopidae.
UGCAACUUGAACAGUCGCCAUUUCAGAACUCAAGUCUUAAAAUGUUGGAGACCGAUACUAACAAUUAGUACUGCAAGUUCUGGCCUGCGUCCGUUCGCUGCCAGGAAGCAACAGGUGUGAUGUAGGCAUCGGUCCAGCUUCUGCGAUGUGCCAUGUACAAGGAAACCUUUCCUAACCUCCUCAAACACACCGCAGCCCAGAGAAAGCAGAUUGGGGAGG